UAACCUACGGGGCGCAGCAGUGGGGAAUAUUGGGCAAUGGGCGCAAGCCUGACCCAGCAACGCCGCGUGAAGGAAGAAGGCUUUCGGGUUGUAAACUUCUUUUGUCAGGGACGAAGCAAGUGACGGUACCUGACGAAUAAGCCACGGCUAACUACGUGCCAGCAGCCGCGGUAAUACGUAGGGGGCAAGCGUUAUCCGGAUUUACUGGGUGUAAAGGGAGCGUAGACGGCGCGGCAAGUCUGAAGUGAAAGGCAGGGGCUUAACCCCUGAACUGCUUUGGAAACUGCCAUGCUAGAGUGCUGGAG
RNAcentral lists this ribosomal RNA (305 nucleotides) under uncultured bacterium. Its description in RNAcentral is "bacterial SSU rRNA". It matches the Rfam family "Bacterial small subunit ribosomal RNA", at positions 335 to 654 of the family's 1533-position model. The record is from RNAcentral.